GCAAGUCGAGCGGACAGAAGGGAGCUUGCUCCCGGAUGUUAGCGGCGGACGGGUGAGUAACACGUGGGUAACCUGCCUGUAAGACUGGGAUAACUCCGGGAAACCGGAGCUAAUACCGGAUAGUUCCUUGAACCGCAUGGUUCAAGGAUGAAAGACGGUUUCGGCUGUCACUUACAGAUGGACCCGCGGCGCAUUAGCUAGUUGGUGAGGUAACGGCUCACCAAGGCGACGAUGCGUAGCCGACCUGAGAGGGUGAUCGGCCACACUGGGACUGAGACACGGCCCAGACUCCUACGGGAGGCAGCAGUAGGGAAUCUUCCGCAAUGGACGAAAGUCUGACGGAGCAACGCCGCGUGAGUGAUGAAGGUUUUCGGAUCGUAAAGCUCUGUUGUUAGGGAAGAACAAGUGCAAGAGUAACUGCUUGCACCUUGACGGUACCUAACCAGAAAGCCACGGCUAACUACGUGCCAGCAGCCGCGGUAAUACGUAGGUGGCAAGCGUUGUCCGGAAUUAUUGGGCGUAAAGGGCUCGCAGGCGGUUUCUUAAGUCUGAUGUGAAAGCCCCCGGCUCAACCGGGGAGGGUCAUUGGAAACUGGGAAACUUGAGUGCAGAAGAGGAGAGUGGAAUUCCACGUGUAGCGGUGAAAUGCGUAGAGAUGUGGAGGAACACCAGUGGCGAAGGCGACUCUCUGGUCUGUAACUGACGCUGAGGAGCGAAAGCGUGGGGGAGCGAACAGGAUUAGAUACCCUGGUAGUCCACGCCGUAAACGAUGAGUGCUAAGUGUUUAGGGGGUUUCCGCCCCUUAGUGCUGCAGCUAACGCAUUAAGCACUCCGCCUGGGGAGUACGGUC
This 850-nucleotide ribosomal RNA is filed under the name Bacillus aerius. Its description in RNAcentral is "bacterial SSU rRNA". It matches the Rfam family "Bacterial small subunit ribosomal RNA", at positions 57 to 887 of the family's 1533-position model. Lineage: Bacteria; Bacillati; Bacillota; Bacilli; Caryophanales; Bacillaceae. The record is from RNAcentral.